UGGGGAAUAUUGGACAAUGGGGGGAACCCUGAUCCAGCGACGCCGCGUGAGUGAAGAAGUAUUUCGGUAUGUAAAGCUCUAUCAGCAGGGAAGAAAGAAAUGACGGUACCUGACUAAGAAGCCCCGGCUAACUACGUGCCAGCAGCCGCG
RNAcentral lists this ribosomal RNA (150 nucleotides) under uncultured bacterium. RNAcentral's name for it is "partial 16S ribosomal RNA". It matches the Rfam family "Bacterial small subunit ribosomal RNA", at positions 355 to 519 of the family's 1533-position model. The record is from RNAcentral.